GAGUCCUAGUGUGAUAAAGUUCAGAUAACUUAAACAACUAGGAUUGCAGAAUUUGGGUGAGACUGAGAUAUGGAUGAGGUGUUUCAACCGAUAGGAAAAAAGGGAAAGGGGAAGGCACCAAUAGGGAGUAAGGAAGAGGUGUGGUAGGAUUUGAAGUCCUAGUGUGAUGAGGUUCAUAUAACUUAAACAACUGAGAUUGAGGGAUUUUGGUGAGACUGGAAUAUGGAUGAGGUAUUCCAACCAAUAGGAAGAGAAGGAAAGGGAAUGACACCAAUAAGGAGUGAGAAAGAUAGUGAGGCCAAAGAGGGAGAAAGAGUUUGUAUAGGAGAGGGAUAGAGAAAAAAAUAUUUUCUUAUUUUAAUUUUCAAAAAAUAAAUUAAAUAGGUCUUAUUUAAAAUUCCUGACUAGGCUUUCUUAGGCCCAUAGAGCUCAAUUAAACUUAAUUAGAUACAUUUAAAAAUUACCCAUAUUAAAUUUAAACAAAAUAAAAUUUUAUUUAAAUUUAAUUAAAUUAAUUUCCCCAAAACUUUAUUAUUAUUUUUAUUUUUUCAAGAUCAUGCCACGGAA
RNAcentral lists this unclassified non-coding RNA (567 nucleotides) under Hevea brasiliensis (rubber tree). Lineage: Eukaryota; Viridiplantae; Streptophyta; Magnoliopsida; Malpighiales; Euphorbiaceae. The record is from RNAcentral.